Molecule: non-coding RNA, 134 nt
Filed under: Onchocerca ochengi
Lineage: Eukaryota; Metazoa; Nematoda; Chromadorea; Rhabditida; Onchocercidae
Description: Eukaryotic large subunit ribosomal RNA
Rfam family: Eukaryotic large subunit ribosomal RNA
Source: Rfam by way of RNAcentral
AAGAUUGAGAUGAAUUAUACCGAGCAGGAUGAAGCCAGAGGAAAUUCCGGUAGAAGUAAGAAGCCAUUCUGAUGUGCAAAUCGAUCGUCUGGAUUUGGUACAUUGAGCGAAAGACUGAUCGAACAAUCUAGUAG